UACACUCCUGCGGGAGGCAGCAGUGGGGAAUUUUGGACAAUGGGCGAAAGCCUGAUCCAGCCAUGCCGCGUGCAGGAUGAAGGCCUUCGGGUUGUAAACUGCUUUUGUACGGAACGAAACGGCCUUUUCUAAUAAAGAGGGCUAAUGACGGUACCGUAAGAAUAAGCACCGGCUAACUACGUGCCAGCAGCCGCGGUAAUACGUAGGGUGCAAGCGUUAAUCGGAAUUACUGGGCGUAAAGCGUGCGCAGGCGGUUAUGUAAGACAGUUGUGAAAUCCCCGGGCUCAACCUGGGAACUGCAUCUGUGACUGCAUAGCUAGAGUACGGUAGAGGGGGAUGGAAUUCCGCGUGUAGCAGUGAAAUGCGUAGAUAUGCGGAGGAACACCGAUGGCGAAGGCAAUCCCCUGGACCUGUACUGACGCUCAUGCACGAAAGCGUGGGGAGCAAACAGGAUUAGAUACCCGAGUAGUCCCAUGA
RNAcentral lists this ribosomal RNA (477 nucleotides) under uncultured organism. RNAcentral's name for it is "partial 16S ribosomal RNA". It matches the Rfam family "Bacterial small subunit ribosomal RNA", at positions 332 to 800 of the family's 1533-position model. The record is from RNAcentral.